Paramuricea clavata is the source of this 626-nucleotide non-coding RNA. The record is from the annotation of a GenBank genome assembly. Lineage: Eukaryota; Metazoa; Cnidaria; Anthozoa; Malacalcyonacea; Plexauridae.
CUACUAUAGGUAUAAACUAUUUAUUUUUGCUGAUGCAUGCUAUGUACCUAAGUAUAUUUCCUUCAACGAUAAGUAUUGAUUAGUGAUACAUUUUAGUGUAAAAAUUCAGAAUAUUUUUUAGCUAUUUAACAUUAUUAUAUUGAGGAAACCGCAGGAGGUAGUUAAGUAUGCCAAGCAUUUAAAUUUAAAUUUAAAUCGCACAGUGUGUCUAGGCUACCUAUGGCCUAACAAGUGUCAACACGCUCAUUUGCAAUAACAAUAAUUUAAAGUGGUUUGUGAAAAGGCUUUUGAAACCAUGCAUACAUGCAUGCGUGCAUCCUACAGGUUUUGAACGUUGCAACGUUGUCCAAUAGAAGACAAGUUCUGAGAGCUUCUUUAAAGAGAAUACUGACGAGACCUGAAGUUUUGACACUCAAAAUACAAUCUGAAAUCGGACAAGAUCUAACGAGUAUCAAAAUACUAUAUCCGUCUUUCUCCGCCUUAUUUCUAAAGUCUGUUUUGCAAUGCAGGUCAACGUAAAUACAAAAUAUUAUAUAUUCUAAUUAACCUAUUAAGUAGUGCAUGCAUGAGUUAUUAAACUUCCCCUAUUUACACUGACCUGAAAAAUCAAGUGUCUUAAAUCCCUA